CCUACGGGCGGCAGCAGUGGGGAAUAUUGCACAAUGGGCGCAAGCCUGAUGCAGCCAUGCCGCGUGUGUGAAGAAGGCCUUCGGGUUGUAGAGCACUUUCAGCGGGGAGGAAGGCGUUAAGGUUAAUAACCUUGGCGAUUGACGUUACCCGCAGAAGAAGCACCGGCUAACUCCGUGCCAGCAGCCGCGGUAAUACGGAGGGUGCAAGCGUUAAUCGGAAUUACUGGGCGUAAAGCGCACGCAGGCGGUCUGUCAAGUCGGAUGUGAAAUCCCCGGGCUCAACCUGGGAACUGCAUUCGAAACUGGCAGGCUAGAGUCUUGUAGAGGGGGGUAGAAUUCCAGGUGUAGCGGUGAAAUGCGUAGAGAUCUGGAGGAAUACCGGUGGCGAAGGCGGCCCCCUGGACAAAGACUGACGCUCAGGUGCGAAAGUGUGGGGAGCAAACAGGAUUAGAUACCCGAGUAGUC
RNAcentral lists this ribosomal RNA (465 nucleotides) under uncultured Klebsiella sp. RNAcentral describes it as "bacterial SSU rRNA". It matches the Rfam family "Bacterial small subunit ribosomal RNA", at positions 338 to 795 of the family's 1533-position model. Lineage: Bacteria; Pseudomonadati; Pseudomonadota; Gammaproteobacteria; Enterobacterales; Enterobacteriaceae. The record is from RNAcentral.